CAGAGCUGCAUCUGGGCUGCGUGCUUGCCCUUCGCUUCCUGGCCCUCGUUUCCUGGGACAUCCCUAGGGCUAGAGCACUGGACAAUGGAUUGGCAAGGACGCCUACCAUGGGCUGGCUGCACUGGGAGCGCUUCAUGUGCAACCUUGACUGCCAGGAAGAGCCAGAUUCCUGCAUCAGUGAGAAGCUCUUCAUGGAGAUGGCAGAGCUCAUGGUCUCAGAAGGCUGGAAGGAUGCAGGUUAUGAGUACCUCUGCAUUGAUGACUGUUGGAUGGCUCCCCAAAGAGAUUCAGAAGGCAGACUUCAGGCAGACCCUCAGCGCUUUCCUCAUGGGAUUCGCCAGCUAGCUAAUUAUGUUCACAACAAAGGACUGAAGCUAGGGAUUUAUGCAGAUGUUGGAAAUAAAACCUGCGCAGGCUUCCCUGGGAGUUUUGGAUACUACGACAUUGAUGCCCAGACCUUUGCUGACUGGGGAGUAGAUCUGCUAAAAUUUGAUGGUUGUUACUGUGACAGUUUGGAAAAUUUGGCAGAUGGUAUGUUUCAUUCCAGAGAUUAGCCACAAAGGAAAGAAUUUUGAGGCCAUGGUAGCUGAGCCAAAGAACCAAUCUUCAGAAUUUUAAAUACCCUGUCACAAUACUGGAAAUAAUUAUUCUCCAUGUGCCAGAGCUCCCAUCUCUUCUCUUUCAGUUCAUUAAUUAAUUAAUUCAUUCAUGUAAAAUCCAUGCAUACCUAACCAUAGCUAAUAUUGUGCACUUAUAAUUCAAGAGGGCUCUAAGAGUUAAUUAGUAAUUGU
RNAcentral lists this small RNA (791 nucleotides) under Pongo abelii (Sumatran orangutan). RNAcentral describes it as "processed transcript". The record is from RNAcentral. Lineage: Eukaryota; Metazoa; Chordata; Mammalia; Primates; Hominidae.